Molecule: unclassified non-coding RNA, 353 nt
Filed under: Hevea brasiliensis (rubber tree)
Lineage: Eukaryota; Viridiplantae; Streptophyta; Magnoliopsida; Malpighiales; Euphorbiaceae
Source: RNAcentral
GGACAGCUAACAUUUGCAGUUUAUGAAAAACGAGCGUAUAAAAUUUAUUUCCCACACGAAACCGUGGGCUAGCCUUGAAAACAAAAUAUAAAAACAGGAGAAGAGUAUGUCCUCUGUCUUCUUUCAAAGUUAAUAAUCGCGUCUAAAAUUAGGGUUUUUCUUCCUUUCAAGUUUCAACAUCAAAAUCUCAGUUCUCCUUCACAGCCUUCCUCCCCUCAUAUUUCUACACUUUUAGAAUUGUUCCUUCUCCCCGUGAAUCGGAAUUUGUAAUUUCCGAAUUAGAGCAAUCGAAGGAAGAGAUAAGAGAGCGUAGGCUCGAAUAUUUUCAGAAACAAGAGAUUGAAGAUGGGUUC